RNAcentral lists this ribosomal RNA (476 nucleotides) under uncultured bacterium. Its description in RNAcentral is "bacterial SSU rRNA". It matches the Rfam family "Bacterial small subunit ribosomal RNA", at positions 350 to 842 of the family's 1533-position model. The record is from RNAcentral.
AGCAGUGGGGAAUAUUGCACAAUGGGGGAAACCCUGAUGCAGCGACGCCGCGUGAGUGAAGAAGUAUUUCGGUAUGUAAAGCUCUAUCAGCAGGGAAGAAGAAAGACGGUACCUGACUAAGAAGCCCCGGCUAACUACGUGCCAGCAGCCGCGGUAAUACGUAGGGGGCAAGCGUUAUCCGGAUUUACUGGGUGUAAAGGGAGCGUAGACGGCUGUGCAAGUCUGAAGUGAAAGCCCAGGGCUCAACCCUGGGACUGCUUUGGAAACUGUGGAGCUAGAGUGCUGGAGAGGUAAGUGGAAUUCCUAGUGUAGCGGUGAAAUGCGUAGAUAUUAGGAGGAACACCAGUGGCGAAGGCGGCUUACUGGACAGUAACUGACGUUGAGGCUCGAAAGCGUGGGGAGCAAACAGGAUUAGAUACCCUGGUAGUCCACGCGGUAAACGAUGAAUACUAGGUGUUGGAGAGCAAAGCUUUUCG